RNAcentral lists this ribosomal RNA (422 nucleotides) under uncultured bacterium. Its description in RNAcentral is "partial 16S ribosomal RNA". It matches the Rfam family "Bacterial small subunit ribosomal RNA", at positions 361 to 776 of the family's 1533-position model. The record is from RNAcentral.
AUAUUGGACAAUGGGGGAAACCCUGAUCCAGCCAUCCCGCGGGUAUGAUGAAGGCCUUCGGGUUGUAAAGAACUUUUGGCAGGGAAGAAAAGUUAUCCCCUAUUCGGGAUUCUUCCGGACGUUUCCGCCGGAUUAGCACCGGCCUAACUAGUUCCCGGCACCGCGGUAAUACGUAGGGUGCAAGCGUUAAUCGGAAUUACUGGGCGUAAAGCGUGUGUAGGCGGUUCGGAAAGAAAGAUGUGAAAUCCCAGGGCUCAACCUUGGAACUGCAUUUUUAACUGCCGAACUAGAGUAUGUCAGAGGGGGGUAGAAUUCCACGUGUAGCAGUGAAAUGCGUAGAUAUGUGGAGGAAUACCGAUGGCGAAGGCAGCCCCCUGGGAUAAUACUGACGCUCAGACACGAAAGCGUGGGGAGCAAACAGG